RNAcentral lists this ribosomal RNA (253 nucleotides) under uncultured bacterium. Its description in RNAcentral is "partial 16S ribosomal RNA". It matches the Rfam family "Bacterial small subunit ribosomal RNA", at positions 524 to 776 of the family's 1533-position model. The record is from RNAcentral.
GACGCAGGGGGCCAGCGUUGCUCGGAAUUACUGGGCGUAAAGGGUUCGUAGGCGGUGUGGCAAGUCGGGAGUGAAAUCUCUGGGCUUAACUCAGAGGCUGCUUCCGAAACUGCCGUGCUAGAGUGCGGGAGAGGCGAGUGGAAUUGCAGGUGUAGCGGUGAAAUGCGUAGAUAUCGGGAAGAACACCCGUUGCGAAGGCGGCUCUCUGGAACGCAACUGACGCUGAGACGCGAAAGCGUGGGGAGCAAACAGG